CAAGUCUCUCCUCUGUAUCUUAACAUUUAAAAGUACACCUAUUUAUACCUUAGGUGUCUCCAUUUUAGGUUACUGUAGUUCAAAUAUGAAAAAGUAACACUUCUUUUACUUUAUUCAAUUUAGGACCUCCCUUAAUUUGGCAAACAUACAAGGCCAUAACUAAAGGGUGUAUACGUCACGGAAAUUUUCCUGACUUAGUUCAAGAUGGC
This 209-nucleotide long non-coding RNA is filed under the name Pelobates cultripes (western spadefoot toad). The record is from RNAcentral. Lineage: Eukaryota; Metazoa; Chordata; Amphibia; Anura; Pelobatidae.